This 1730-nucleotide long non-coding RNA is filed under the name Musa acuminata (dwarf banana). RNAcentral's name for it is "long non-coding RNA (MACU_LNC007724)". Lineage: Eukaryota; Viridiplantae; Streptophyta; Magnoliopsida; Zingiberales; Musaceae. The record is from RNAcentral.
AUUGAUAUCCUUUAGCCUUCUUAUUCAAUUGAGCUUUAUAUUACUGCUUUGAAUUCUUGUAUGCUCUUGUCCUUAAAAUUAUUUGCAUUCCUGAAAACUAUUGUGUAACGUUUAUGCUAUAUCGUAUUGACUCAUAUAGGCACAUGUGUAUCCCAUCGUUCCGCUUUUGCUUUCGAUAUGUGCCUAUUCCAUUUCAUUCCAAAAUCUGAAUACAUUUGUGAGAGAUUUGUUCCUUGCAUCCUAUUUGACUCGUAAAGGCACAUGUACGUUUGUUGUUCCGCGUGUGCUUCCGAUAUAUGCUAUUUAUUGUUCAUACUGCCCUUUUGUACUCUGGUGUGUGGGAUUGUCUGGACCUUUGCCAGAAAUGGUAAAGGGUAUGCGCUUAUUGCCCGCUAUGUGGGGUCCCGCUAUGUGGGAUAUUCUGGACCUUUGCCAGAAAUGGUAAAGGGUAUGUGCUUAGAGCCUGCGAUGCUCUGCCGGCCCCCUUUGACUUCACCUAGACGUGGGUGGAUGGAGCUCCCAGACGUGGGAGACUUUUGUCAGGUGGUCAUUCAGAAAUAGAUGAAUCACAUUCUGACUGAGAUCCCACUACACCUUCUAUAUGUUUGAUAUGAUAUCCAGAGCUUUGGUUAUGUGUUUUUGUACAUGCUUUGGAUAAGAAUGAUAUGAUUCCACGUCCAGGACGACGUUUGAGCUUCUGUACGAUAUUUGUUUUCGAUAUGCUCUGAAAUGCUUCAUUCACUGAUGAUAUGCUUCGAAAUGUUCCAUAUGCCGUUGAUAUGCUCUAGAACAUUUCAUAUGCCAUUGAUAUGCUCCAAUUACUCUGUGCUCCAUUUGCUAUGAACUGAUAUGUUCUGAAAUGUCCUAUCUGCCAUUGAUAUGUUCCAAUUACUCUGUGCUCCAUUUGCUAUGAACUGAUAUGUUCUGAAAUGUCCUAUCUGCCAUUGAUAUGUUCCAAUUACUCUGUGCUCCAUUUGCUAUGAACUGAUAUGUUCUGAAAUGUCCUAUCUGUCAUUGAUAUGUUCCAAUUACUCUAUGCUCCAUUCGUUAUGGAUCAAAUAUGUUUUGAAUGACAUGAUACGUAUGAUUUGGUAUCUAUUGAGAUGGUAUCCUUGAGAAUUCUUGUAUUCUGCCUUGCAUUAUGAUACCUUACUCGUUUCAAACCGUUCGUUUUGUUCUGAAUAUGCUUUGUCACUUGCUGAGCCGUUUUUGGCUCACUCCGUUGUUAUAUAAAUCUUUCAGGUCAGCUUGUCACUCUUCGAGAUGUUUGAUUUGGGUUGAGGCAGUGGAUAGCUAUUCAGAAUGAUGGGCAAGUCUGGUUGGUUAUUACGAUAUUGUUGUAUAAGUAUGUCUUGUAUGUAAUGAAAUGUUGUCGAUGAACCGAAAUAGAUAUACUGUGUCAAAGUGUUAGGAGAUCUCUCUUAUUUGGAAUUUCUGAAUGUUAAGUCUAAUUUAUGAUAAUAUGAACUUGUGGUGAAUAGUUGGAGUUCUGAUUGUAUAAUUUAUUUAGCUUGUGGAUUUAUAAAUGUUGUUCAUGUUUGUCAAGUUGGCUUGGGUUACCAUAAAUGUGAAUUAUCGAGUGAUGUGAUAUAUGAUUAUAAACUGCACAAGUUUUAUAGAUGUGAAUAUGAAUAGAAUGUUUUUCAGUGUCCUCAAACGUUAGUUUGGAUCCUGGAAUGGUCUGUGAUGAAAAUUUUAAAAAUCAUGGAUAUUUUGAGGGGCGUGACAGU